CCCUGGAAGGGGUGUAAAGCUCGGACUCCAGUUCCCAAAAUUCUUGUUAUAUUGUGAUCUGAUUAAUCUUGCGGGAAUGGGUGGUCUUUUAAUUGCUGAACCUCCAUCUCAUUCUUGUGUCCUUACUUUUGGAACAGCUGAAAAGCACAUUUCUUGUAUUUAGCUCUGGGGAGGUUUGCAGAGAUACAGUCGAUUAAGAGAAGACAUAGCAGAAGCCUAGCAGUCUGAAGCAGAUAAAAAAUAAGGAUGGACAAUAUGCUGCAAAGACAUUUGCAUAAACAGUGAGCAGUAGUGAACAGCAAAAACCAGUCCGAAGAUUCAGUGAAAAACUGCUUAUUUCCAAGGCUCAGGGAAUGUCAAGCAACAACAAAAAAAGUACAUUCUAUCCAGCAACCUUGAAUAUGUUCAGUGAAGCCUCAAGUGUAAUCCUAAAAGCCCAUGUAGAGCCCCCACAUGAAGACUGCUUGUCAGCUGUGAUAUGGCAUCUGGAAGACCUGGAGGGUGGAUGUGUCAGGAAGUACACUGGGUCUUCCUGGCAUCCCAUAAUUCUGUGUAUCAUCUUUAUGAUUCCCAUGCUCCAGAAGACACUGUAGUCUUUCAGCAAUGAUGACAGUUAUUGUUGGGAAAACCUUUGCAGCUGGCAAUUAAUGGAAACAAAUUUUAUGAAAUGGACUAUUAAACCUCAAAAUAAUGAUAAAGAUAAAAGUAUGAACAGUUUUAUUAAACAAUAUUUAAAAAAAAACAACAAUCUUGUGCUUUAUGUUUAUGUUCACCAAAGUAAAGCAAUAUAUCACUGGACAUAAAAAGAUGCAAGAACAUGAAAAAAAUCAUCCUUUCUUCCUCAUAUAGUCUGUUAAAGGUGUUUCUACUCAGAUAAAUCUAAACACAUCUGAAAGGAUUGUGGACAGCAGAACAUGAUGUUUAGUGAAGAGGAUAUCAUUCAGGGAAAGCUCAAGUCCUAUUGGAUUCUGAAUGUGCAAAAGGCUAUAGAAAAAGUUCUGGAAUUCUCUUCAGUCCUGAAAUAGGGAAGACAGAAGUAGGAAUGGAGGCAUAAAGAAGCAUUUUUUUAUGGACAAUUUCCAAGACGAAGUUCCUCCAAGCACAAUCUUCAUUCAGAGCUCAGUUUCUGGAAGCUUAGGGUAGGCUUGUGAUUACUUCUCUUGCAAUUUUUGAGCACUGAAAAGCUAGGUGUGCUGAAAAGGCUUGUGUCGUGUUAAAUGUGAUAGUGGUCUUGAAGUAUAGAAAAGAUUGCUGCAGUGAGGAAAGGGAUAAACUGCUUUCCAUAUCUGAAAUGUGUGUGAAAGAAAAUAAAUUAAAGCAAGGUAGAUUAAGCCUGACAUACCUCGGAAAAAUUUCUAUCUUUAAGGACCAUAUUGCUUUGGAAAAGUGUGGAAGCACCAUGACUGGAUGUUAGACAGUAUCUGUCAGGCAUGAACGAGGUGCACUUGAUUUUGGCUUGAGGAAAGAAAUGGAGUAGAUAAUUUCCUAAUGUUCCUGCCAGCUGUGUUUUCUAUUAUUCUCUGUGACUAGACAUUAGAAAGAAAUCAUGUGUGAUUUAUCUAUGUGCCAAUGGAUACACUAGUUUCUUUCCAUUUCAGUGAUUAAUUGUUCUAAUGUGAGGCUCCCAAAAUUUUAUACUAAAACUAGUGAGACUUUUGCACAGCCAAGAAGUUGUUAAAAUCUGACAUCCAAUUCCACUUUAAAACUGAGUUCAACCAAAUGCUUCUAAUGAAACUUUUUCAAGUUUCUUACACAAAUUAAUAAAAUUUGAUUAUUUUUUGGAUAGGUGAAUAAGUCCUUCAUUUAAAUUACAAAUUCUGUUUUAUGUUUUUUCAGAUUUGAAAAAAAAAGUUUAAUUAUUUAUGAAUGCUAUUGUCACUGCUGACAACAUCAUCUCCAGAGACUGAUACUAACAGAUAUGUACAAGUAUAGUAAAAUACUGUAUCUCAUUUAUGAGUGAUUAGACCAGAUUGUUGACUCAAGAUGGGACAAGGCUAUUUUUCUAAAUAAGAUUGUAUAACAUGGUCACUCGUAAUGUUUUAGAUUUUUAAAAAUAUUUUGAAUUUUUUUUUCUGAUACAACAAAACUUAUAUUUUCAUUUAUUCAUUUGUAGAACUUGCACAACAUCAUAGUUUCUAUGAAAGUAUCAUACAUUUACCUGGAUAAUUAAUUUGCAAGAGGGAGGAUCUGGUCCAACAAGCAAAUUAAACAAAGAGGUAAACCUAAGUAAUUCGGGAAGGGAUGGAAGGAGGGAAAUGAGUGAUAAUUCAAAUUUGCAAGGCAAAUUCAUGGCAAAUGACAACUGAAGGUUACGGUAACCUUGAAUAAAAUUACUCAUACAAACAUAUAUUACGAGGAUAUUUCUCUUUCAUUGUUUCCCUGUCAAAUACUGGGAAUGUUUCACUUUUCUGAAAAGAGUUUCUGUAUUGUUAACAAUACAAGUUCACCCUAUACAUAGGUUCUGGUAGUUUCCCUUUGUAGUGCUGGGGGUACCAACACAAAUUUGUUUUUUGUUCAAAUUCUGAUCUUCACUUUUUUUAUCUUCUAGACUUCAACAUCCAGUACAGAAUAAGUCUUUUAUUACUGUUAAUUUAUUUCUAAGUCAUAACAUUAAGAACUACAUUGAUAUUAAGUGUAAUUGCAUCACUUCCUUGAAGAAAGACACUUUCUGUGUCUCUAAAGAACCUUGCAUUUUCCAACAAGGAAAACUGGAUGUUGCAAUUGAUCAGAGAGAUGUGAAGACUAUACCAUUUCUGUUGCUCAUUCUUAUAUCAGGAGUAGUGUAUUAAUGGCUCUGAGAUGAAGAGUCAUAGGCUGUAGGAACUACUAACAUAAAUUUUACUUUACAAGCUGGAUCUUUGUGUGGCAAGGUUUUGGUAGUGGGGGGAUACAGGAGUGGCCCCUCUGAGAAGCUGACAGAAGCUUUGCUCAUGUCUGACAGAGCCAUUCCAGGAUGGGCUCACUGCUCACCAAGGCUGGGCCCUUCAGCCAUGGUAGUACCAUGAUAGCAGCCAUGAUAGGAUAUUGAGGAAGGAAACGAGUUAUUGCGCAGAUGUAAUUGCAGCCAGAGGAGAGAGGAGUGAGAAUAUGAGAGGGCAAUAGCUCUGCAGACACCAAGGUCAGUGCAAAAGGAAGGGAGGAGGUGUUGCAGGCACAAGAGCAGAAAUUCCUUUGCAGCCCCUGGUUAACAGCACAGUGAGGCAGCUGUGCCCCGCCGCCUGUGGAGGUCCAUUGGGAAGCACCUGUAUCCCUGAAGAGCCCCAUGCUGGAGCAGGUGGAUGCACAAAAGAGGCUGUGCCCCUUUGGGAAGCCCACUCUGUAGCAGGAUUCUGGCAGGACCCACUGAGCCAUGAAGAGAAGGUUCCACACUGGAGCAGGUUUGCUGUGGGACUUGUGAUCCAACAGGGGACCAGCACUGGAGCAGCCUGUGCCUGAAGGACUGCAGCCUGUGGAAAGGACCCCCACUGGAGAAGCUGGUGGACACUGUGUCCCAUGUGAGUUUCCCCCACGUUGGAGCAGGGGAAGAGUGUGAGGUGUCUUUCCCCUGAGGGGGAAGGAAAUAUGUGAUGAACAUUGCUUUCAUUCUGCACGUUCCUGCACCGCUUGGAGAGUGGUACAAAAUUCUGGACUGACGUUUAGCUUAGGAAGGUAGGAGUGGAGGAAAGAUGUUUUAAGACUUGGUUUUAUUUCUUGUUAUGCUACUCUGAUUUUAUUGGCAAUAAAUUCAAUUAA
Passer domesticus (house sparrow) is the source of this 3732-nucleotide long non-coding RNA. RefSeq lists it as uncharacterized. NCBI's taxonomy places the organism in Eukaryota, Metazoa, Chordata, Aves, Passeriformes, Passeridae. The record is from RefSeq and is a predicted model, not a curated record. The transcript has 10 exons.